RNAcentral lists this ribosomal RNA (1204 nucleotides) under Salmonella enterica. RNAcentral's name for it is "partial 23S ribosomal RNA". It matches the Rfam family "Bacterial large subunit ribosomal RNA", at positions 1740 to 2925 of the family's 2925-position model. Lineage: Bacteria; Pseudomonadati; Pseudomonadota; Gammaproteobacteria; Enterobacterales; Enterobacteriaceae. The record is from RNAcentral.
AUGUAGGUGAAGUGAUUUACUCAUGGAGCUGAAGUCAGUCGAAGAUACCAGCUGGCUGCAACUGUUUAUUAAAAACACAGCACUGUGCAAACACGAAAGUGGACGUAUACGGUGUGACGCCUGCCCGGUGCCGGAAGGUUAAUUGAUGGGGUCAGCGCAAGCGAAGCUCCUGAUCGAAGCCCCGGUAAACGGCGGCCGUAACUAUAACGGUCCUAAGGUAGCGAAAUUCCUUGUCGGGUAAGUUCCGACCUGCACGAAUGGCGUAAUGAUGGCCAGGCUGUCUCCACCCGAGACUCAGUGAAAUUGAACUCGCUGUGAAGAUGCAGUGUACCCGCGGCAAGACGGAAAGACCCCGUGAACCUUUACUAUAGCUUGACACUGAACAUUGAGCCUUGAUGUGUAGGAUAGGUGGGAGGCUUUGAAGUGUGGACGCCAGUCUGCAUGGAGCCGACCUUGAAAUACCACCCUUUAAUGUUUGAUGUUCUAACGUGGACCCGUGAUCCGGGUUGCGGACAGUGUCUGGUGGGUAGUUUGACUGGGGCGGUCUCCUCCUAAAGAGUAACGGAGGAGCACGAAGGUUGGCUAAUCUUGGUCGGACAUCAGGAGGUUAGUGCAAUGGCAUAAGCCAGCUUGACUGCGAGCGUGACGGCGCGAGCAGGUGCGAAAGCAGGUCAUAGUGAUCCGGUGGUUCUGAAUGGAAGGGCCAUCGCUCAACGGAUAAAAGGUACUCCGGGGAUAACAGGCUGAUACCGCCCAAGAGUUCAUAUCGACGGCGGUGUUUGGCACCUCGAUGUCGGCUCAUCACAUCCUGGGGCUGAAGUAGGUCCCAAGGGUAUGGCUGUUCGCCAUUUAAAGUGGUACGCGAGCUGGGUUUAGAACGUCGUGAGACAGUUCGGUCCCUAUCUGCCGUGGGCGCUGGAGAACUGAGGGGGGCUGCUCCUAGUACGAGAGGACCGGAGUGGACGCAUCACUGGUGUUCGGGUUGUCAUGCCAAUGGCACUGCCCGGUAGCUAAAUGCGGAAGAAAUAAGUGCUGAAAGCAUCUAAGCACGAAACUUGCCCCGAGAUGAGUUCUCCCUGAGACUUUAGGUCUCCUGAAGGAACGUUGAAGACGACGACGUUGAUAGGCCGGGUGUGUAAGCGCAGCGAUGCGUUGAGCUAACCGGUACUAAUGAACCGUGAGGCUUAACCUUACAACGCCGAAG